CGAAGAAGCGAACCUGCGAAGGCAAGCGGAUCUCUUAAAGCCGUUCUCAGUUCGGACUGUAGGCUGCAACUCGCCUACACGAAGCUGGAAUCGCUAGUAAUCGCGGAUCAGCACGCCGCGGUGAAUACGUUCCCGGGCCUUGUACACACCGCCCGUCACACCAUGGGAGUCUGUAACACCCAAAGCCGGUGGGAUAACCUUUAUAGGAGUCAGCCGUCUAAGGUAGGACAGAUGAUUAGGGUGAAGUCGUAACAAGGUAAC
Molecule: ribosomal RNA, 261 nt
Filed under: uncultured bacterium
Lineage: Bacteria
Description: partial 16S ribosomal RNA
Rfam family: Bacterial small subunit ribosomal RNA
Source: RNAcentral